This is a small nucleolar RNA of Cavia porcellus (domestic guinea pig), 102 nucleotides long. It matches the Rfam family "Small nucleolar RNA U13". The record is from Rfam. Lineage: Eukaryota; Metazoa; Chordata; Mammalia; Rodentia; Caviidae.
AUCCUCAGGUUCAUAAGCAUGAUGACUCGGUGCUCAUGCUCUAUGCAUGACAUGUGUCUCCUUUGAACCUUGUUACGACCUCGGCACAUUACCCAUCUGACG